GAUGAACGCUAGCUACAGGUCUAACACAUGCAAGUCGAGGGGCAUCAGGAAGAAAGCUUGCUUUCUUUGCUGGCGACCGGCGCACGGGUGAGUAACACGUAUCCAACCUGCCCUUUACUCGGGGAUAGCCUUUCGAAAGAAAGAUUAAUACCCGAUGGCAUAAUGAUUCCGCAUGGUUUCAUUAUUAAAGGAUUCCGGUAAAGGAUGGGGAUGCGUUCCAUUAGGUUGUUGGUGAGGUAACGGCUCACCAAGCCUUCGAUGGAUAGGGGUUCUGAGAGGAAGGUCCCCCACAUUGGAACUGAGACACGGUCCAAACUCCUACGGGAGGCAGCAGUGAGGAAUAUUGGUCAAUGGGCGCUAGCCUGAACCAGCCAAGUAGCGUGAAGGAUGAAGGCUCUAUGGGUCGUAAACUUCUUUUAUAUAAGAAUAAAGUGCAGUAUGUAUACUGUUUUGUAUGUAUUAUAUGAAUAAGGAUCGGCUAACUCCGUGCCAGCAGCCGCGGUAAUACGGAGGAUCCGAGCGUUAUCCGGAUUUAUUGGGUUUAAAGGGAGCGUAGGUGGACUGGUAAGUCAGUUGUGAAAGUUUGCGGCUCAACCGUAAAAUUGCAGUUGAUACUGUCAGUCUUGAGUACAGUAGAGGUGGGCGGAAUUCGUGGUGUAGCGGUGAAAUGCUUAGAUAUCACGAAGAACUCCGAUUGCGAAGGCAGCUCACUGGACUGCAACUGACACUGAUGCUCGAAAGUGUGNGUAUCAAACAGG
RNAcentral lists this ribosomal RNA (758 nucleotides) under uncultured bacterium. Its description in RNAcentral is "bacterial SSU rRNA". It matches the Rfam family "Bacterial small subunit ribosomal RNA", at positions 28 to 776 of the family's 1533-position model. The record is from RNAcentral.